This 1011-nucleotide ribosomal RNA is filed under the name [Verticillium] pseudohemipterigenum. RNAcentral describes it as "SSU rRNA". It matches the Rfam family "Eukaryotic small subunit ribosomal RNA", at positions 74 to 1093 of the family's 1831-position model. Lineage: Eukaryota; Fungi; Ascomycota; Sordariomycetes; Hypocreales. The record is from RNAcentral.
UUAUACGGCGAAACUGCGAAUGGCUCAUUAUAUAAGUUAUCGUUUAUUUGAUAGUGCCUUACUACUUGGAUAACCGUGGUAAUUCUAGAGCUAAUACAUGCUGAAGAAUCCCGACUUCGGAAGGGAUGCUGUUAUUAGAUUAAAAACCAAUGCCCCUCUGGGGCUCUGUGGUGAUUCAUGAUAACCUCGCGAAUCGCACGGCCUUGCGCCGGCGAUGGCUCAUUCAAAUUUCUUCCCUAUCAACUUUCGAUGUUUGGGUAUUGUCCAAACAUGGUUGCAACGGGUGACGGAGGGUUAGGGCUCGACCCCGGAGAAGGAGCCUGAGAAACGGCUACUACAUCCAAGGAAGGCAGCAGGCGCGCAAAUUACCCAAUCCCGAUUCGGGGAGGUAGUGACAAUAAAUACUGAUACAGGGCUCUUUCGGGUCUUGUAAUUGGAAUGAGUACAACUUAAAUCCCUUAACGAGGAACAAUUGGAGGGCAAGUCUGGUGCCAGCAGCCGCGGUAAUUCCAGCUCCAAUAGCGUAUAUUAAAGUUGUUGUGGUUAAAAAGCUCGUAGUUGAACCUUGGGCCUGGCUGGCCGGUCCGCCUCACCGCGUGUACUGGUCCGGCCGGGUCUUUCCCUCUGUGGAACCCCAUGCCCUUCACUGGGUGUGGCGGGGAAGCAGGACUUUUACUUUGAAAAAAUUAGAGUGCUCCAGGCAGGCCUAUGCUCGAAUACAUUAGCAUGGAAUAAUGAAAUAGGACGUGCGGUUCUAUUUUGUUGGUUUCUAGGACCGCCGUAAUGAUUAAUAGGGACAGUCGGGGGCAUCAGUAUUCAAUAGUCAGAGGUGAAAUUCUUGGAUCUAUUGAAGACUAACUACUGCGAAAGCAUUUGCCAAGGAUGUUUUCAUUAAUCAGGAACGAAAGUUAGGGGAUCGAAGACGAUCAGAUACCGUCGUAGUCUUAACCAUAAACUAUGCCGACUAGGGAUCGGACGAUGUUAAUUUUUGACUCGUUCGGCACCUUACGA